GGACGUUUUCAUUGAUCAAGAACGAAAGUAUGGGGAUCGAAGACGAUCAGAUACCGUCGUAGUCUAUACUAUAAACGAUGAGGACUAGGGAUUUCGUGUGUCCUUUUUUGGUACACGAAGCACCUUCCGGGAAACCAAAGUUUUUGCUUUCUGGGGGGAGUAUGGUCGCAAGUCUGAAACUUAAAGGAAUUGACGGAAGGGCAUCACCGGGUGUGGAGCCUGCGGCUUAAUUUGACUCAACACGGGAAAACUUACCAGGUCCAGACAUAAUAAGGAUUGACAGAUUGAGAGCUCUUUCUUGAUUCUAUGGUUGGUGGUGCAUGGCCGUUCUUAGUUGGUGGAGUGAUCUGUCUGGUUAAUUCCGUUAACGAGCGAGACCUGGGCGUGCUAAAUAGGGUGUGUUAUUCUUGUAAUAGCAUGUUUAUGCCCUUCUUAGACGGACUGUAGGCUUUUAGUCUACGGAAGCUCCAGGCAAUAACAGGUCUGAGAUGCCCUUAGAUGUUCUGGGCCGCACGCGUGCUACACUGAACGGUUCAAUGGGUGAGGUAGUGCGAAAGCAUGACCCAAUCUCAAAAUCCGUUCGUGCUGGGGAUAGAAGCUUGCAAUUAUCCUUCUUGAACGAGGAAUACCUUGUAGGCGCGAGUCAUCAUCUCGCGCCGAAUACGUCCCUGCCCUUUGUACACACCGCCCGUCGCUCCUACCGAUUGAGUGGUCCGGUGAGGCUUUGGGAGGACUGAAUGGAUUGUGUUUCACAAACUGUUCGGGCUGAACUUAGUCAAACCUUAUCACUUAGAGGAAGGAGAAGUCGUAACAAGGUUUCCGUAGGUGACCU
Molecule: ribosomal RNA, 832 nt
Filed under: Lophosiphonia obscura
Lineage: Eukaryota; Rhodophyta; Florideophyceae; Ceramiales; Rhodomelaceae
Description: SSU rRNA
Rfam family: Eukaryotic small subunit ribosomal RNA
Source: RNAcentral